Long non-coding RNA from Lepisosteus oculatus (spotted gar), 2625 nucleotides. RefSeq lists it as uncharacterized. The record is from RefSeq and is a predicted model, not a curated record. NCBI's taxonomy places the organism in Eukaryota, Metazoa, Chordata, Actinopteri, Semionotiformes, Lepisosteidae.
UCAUAGUCAAAACCAAAAACCUGUUAGCACCAGCAAGUACUGUUUUCAUUAACCUCUGUAGAUAAGCUGAUCAUUUCUGAAUAAAAUCGCCUAUAAAUUUGGAAUAAUGCAGUCUAAUGCCCAAGGAACAUUUGAGGUAGCUAUUGAAUGGAUUCACGCACAUCUACUCCUUUAUGCUUCAAGCAUGGCGCUUGGAGUCCGUUUGUGUUGCUGUGGUCUCUUGCUUUAACCAGCGUAGGCAGAAUCUACCAGCCAACUCAAGAGCAACCUGCUGCUGAGCUGGAACCUGCAAGAAACAGAAGUUUGUUUAUAACCCUCCCAACAUUAAGAACCUGAAAAACAGAGCUGUGCCACUUCCAGAUUAGAAAAGAACAUUUCUGUAUUUUCACAUUCUCCUGAAAUUCCUUAUGGCAUGUUCCGUUUCAAUGACUUUCACUGACCCAGAGACAUAGCCGAAAACACCAGCGUAGAACGGAAAUGGAAGAAUCAAAGAAAGAACAAGUGAAAACUGAUCACUUAGAUUAGAGACGAGUCUCGACUUUUCUCUAGGGAAGAGGUACAGUCAAGGCUGGUUUUAAAAAUCUUGCUCGUAAAGGUAAGUGAUGAAUUAAUUGCACACAGGUGGGAUCAAUCUCCUGUCAGAUGACAUCGCCAUGAUAACGGGCUGAUUGGCAGAUUGAGUAAAGACUUGACCGGUUGCCAAGGUAUUUUGGGUUUACUAUAUCCCUCCCUCAAGGAGAGACUUCUGGAUGCUGAACAGGGUACGCCAGGGAACCAGGAAUGAAAUGAGCACACCAGACAGGGGGCAUGAAAGUCUCUUGCAGGAACCCAAGGCUUCUCCUAUGGACAUGGCCCCUCCAAGAUGACAGCUGACGGAUUUCAACAGGGAGACGUGUAAGUCCGGGGAGUCACCGUCCGAGAUGACAAGUAAGAGCCAACUGGUAGGUGUAACGACGUGGCUUGCUGUUGGGGACAGCUCCAUCUUGCCGACAUGCUGGAGAAUCCAAAUUCAGCAACUCGGUGAGGACACAGUCAGAGUAAAGCAUUGGUGUUGGGUUGCUGAAGAGACGUAGAGAACAGAGAUUUGUGAAGCACAAUGAAUACAGAUAGAGAUUGUUGAAGAUGUAGACUGGAAGGUUCAGACAGGACUGGAAGGCAAGCGCAGCUUUCAGGGCAGUUGUAGACAGGGGGGCUGCGCCGCUGUAUGGGAUGACUGAUAGGGAACGGUUUUCAAGGAAACCAGGGGCCGUGACUUCUGGCUCACCCGGGUACAACAUUCACCUUCUCUUAAUGGGUGCUCUCCAGGCUGGGGUAUCAGAUGUGGUAGGUGUGGAGUUCCUGAGCUGGCACCCAUGACGAUUCCUCUGGUCCACAGCCUCUCCAAAGCUCCAAGCAUUGGAGGCUGAUCUGUACCCAUCAGAUGUCCACGAUACGGUAUGGCCUGGGUUCUUGGGUGCCUUUAAUUCAAAGUGAUGAUGGUACAGAUGGCGUGAUGGUUGCCAGUGCAGGUUUCAGAAGUAAAAUGUGGAACGUUGAUGAGAUUUGCCUUCCCAAUGAAUGCAGGAGGGCAAGCCAGUAGGUGAUGGUAUUCACAUGUUCCAACAUGUGUUGGAUUGUUUGAAUGGGCCAAUGAAGUAGAGGAGCAAGUUCCAUGAUGACAGGCAGAGACAGAAGUCUGAUUAAUAGCCACACACUUUGUUCCAGGCCUCAGGGGUGGAAUGGCCCUCCAGCAAUAGUUGGCCAUUCUUUCCUGCUGCUGUGUGGUCUUUUAGAUGUUGGCUCUUACAACCCACCACAUGUGGCAUUGCAGUUGUGCCUCCAGAUCUUUGUUCACUCAUUUUGUUUGGCCAUUCGUUUUGGAGUGAUCAUUUAAUGCAGCUGGUGAUCUGUCAGAACUCAAGCGCAAGAGACCGGAAAGUGAAAAGUGAAAGGUGAAAAUUAUAUAAUUGAUUAUGGGCCAGCGGGGCUUAAUAAACCCAAUCCAGUCGGUAAUAGGGGGGAAUGAUGAUCCCAGGAGAAGCCCAGCCAACUGCAUCCCUGGCAAAAAGAGGCUGCUUAACACAGCACAGCUGCUAAAAACAGGGAGUCUUGGGUAUGGAAGAAACCAAAUAGUGAGACCCUUGAAAAAGGAACUGAAUGGGCUUAGAAGGGCACCCCUCAGGAAUGCCAAGGGUGCAGGUCAGCAAACCCCUGUCGACGCAGUGACCAGUGAAAAGAAUAAAGGUGGAAUGAAGUGCUGCCUAGAUUCUGAGUCUGUUGCAUCAGGCUAGGCUGGAGUGCAAGGCAACGCUGAGAGCUGAGGCUGCUGGGCAAAGUAAAUUAAUGAAACCGAAAAAGCUGCAAAAACUGGUUACCGGUCAGAAAACAGGGAGUCUCGUGUACGGGAGAGACCAAAUGGUGAGCCUCCUUGGAACGUAGGCAGAAGGUUUUGAAGGACAGACUUGAGGUUGCUGAGACUGCUACGCAGAGCGAAGGCUGGCUGGAGGCCACAGAAACUGCUGUGCAGAGUGAAGGCUGGCUGGAGGCCUGUGAGACUGCUGAGCAGAGCAAGGGCUACACUUGCUCUGGGUAUUUCCAAGGGUACACUCGCCAACACUAAAGCGGAGGCUGGUGUGCUUGACGAAG